RNAcentral lists this ribosomal RNA (1375 nucleotides) under uncultured bacterium. Its description in RNAcentral is "bacterial SSU rRNA". It matches the Rfam family "Bacterial small subunit ribosomal RNA". The record is from RNAcentral.
AGAGUUUGAUCCUGGCUCAGGACGAACGCUGGCGGCACGCUUAACACAUGCAAGUCGAACGGAGAAUAUCGAAGCUUGCUUUGAUAUUCUUAGUGGCGGACGGGUGAGUAACACGUGAGUAACCUGCCUCUGAGAGUGGGAUAGCUUCUGGAAACGGAUGGUAAUACCGCAUGAAAUAAUAGUAUCGCAUGGUACCAUGAUCAAAGAUUUAUCGCUCAGAGGUGGACUCGCGUCUGAUUAGCUAGUUGGUAAGGUAACGGCUUACCAAGGCGACGAUCAGUAGCCGGACUGAGAGGUUGAUCGGCCACAUUGGGACUGAGACACGGCCCAGACUCCUACGGGAGGCAGCAGUGGGGAAUAUUGCACAAUGGGGGAAACCCUGAUGCAGCGACGACGCGUGGAGGAAGAAGGUCUUCGGAUUGUAAACUCCUGUUGUUGAGGAAGAUAAUGACGGUACUCAACAAGGAAGUGACGGCUAACUACGUGCCAGCAGCCGCGGUAAAACGUAGGUCACAAGCGUUGUCCGGAAUUACUGGGUGUAAAGGGAGCGCAGGCGGGAAGACAAGUUGGAAGUGAAAUCCAUGGGCUCAACCUAUGAACUGCUUUCAAAACUGUUUUUCUUGAGUAGUGCAGAGGUAGGCGGAAUUCCCGGUGUAGCGGUGGAAUGCGUAGAUAUCGGGAGGAACACCAGUGGCGAAGGCGGCCUACUGGGCACCAACUGACGCUGAGGCUCGAAAGUGUGGGUAGCAAACAGGAUUAGAUACCCUGGUAGUCCACACCGUAAACGAUGAUUACUAGGUGUUGGAGGAUUGACCCCUUCAGUGCCGCAGUUAACACAAUAAGUAAUCCACCUGGGGAGUACGACCGCAAGGUUGAAACUCAAAGGAAUUGACGGGGGCCCGCACAAGCAGUGGAGUAUGUGGUUUAAUUCGACGCAACGCGAAGAACCUUACCAAGUCUUGACAUCCUGCGACGGACAUAGAAAUAUGUUUUUCCUUCGGGACGCAGAGACAGGUGGUGCAUGGUUGUCGUCAGCUCGUGUCGUGAGAUGUUGGGUUAAGUCCCGCAACGAGCGCAACCCUUAUCUUUAGUAGCCAGCGGUUUGGCCGGGCACUCUAGAGAGACUGCCAGGGAUAACCUGGAGGAAGGCGGGGAUGACGUCAAAUCAUCAUGCCCCUUAUGACUUGGGCUACACACGUGCUACAAUGGCGUAAACAAAGGGAAGCAAAGCUGUGAAGCCGAGCAAAUCUCAAAAAUAACGUCUCAGUUCGGACUGUAGUCUGCAACCCGACUACACGAAGCUGGAAUCGCUAGUAAUCGCAGAUCAGAAUGCUGCGGUGAAUACGUUCCCGGGUCUUGUACACACCGCCCGUCA